UGAGGAAUAUUGGUCAAUGGUCGAGAGACUGAACCAGCCAAGCCGCGUGAAGGAUGAAGGCGCUAAGCGUCGUAAACUUCUUUUGUCGGGGAACAAACGGAGGUACGUGUACCUUUUUGAGUGUACCCGAAGAAAAAGCAUCGGCUAACUCCGUGCCAGCAGCCGCGGUAAUACGGAGGAUGCGAGCGUUAUCCGGAUUUAUUGGGUUUAAAGGGUGCGCAGGCGGGCUGUUAAGUCAGCGGUAAAAGCCCGGGGCUCAACCCCGGCGAGCCGUUGAAACUGGCAGUCUUGAGUUGGAGAGAAGUAUGCGGAAUGCGCAGUGUAGCGGUGAAAUGCUUAGAUAUUGCGCAGAACUCCGAUUGCGAAGGCAGCAUACCGGCUCCAUACUGACGCUCAGGCACGAAAGUGCGGGGAUCGAACAGG
RNAcentral lists this ribosomal RNA (423 nucleotides) under uncultured bacterium. RNAcentral's name for it is "bacterial SSU rRNA". It matches the Rfam family "Bacterial small subunit ribosomal RNA", at positions 355 to 776 of the family's 1533-position model. The record is from RNAcentral.